CCCCAUCUUAAAUGGCUGUAGGUGCAAGACACUGCACCUUAAGGUUCAUGGAACAACUUGAAUCAACAUCACUCAUGAAAUGCUCCCUUUCCUCUUCACCUCUAUAUCAAAAGCAAUAUGUUCACUUCUUCAACUCUAGCCAAAGAUAUAGUCAGUGUUGUUCAUUGUCGAUGAAUGGAUGCCAAGGCGAUCCAAGAGCUCCUAUUGGAACCAUUGAAACUCGAACGUUGCCUGCAGUUUCUAGUCCUGCAUUGGCCAUGGAACGUCUCAAUUCUGCCAUAUCCGACUUGGUUAAGUCCGAGCCUCCGCCUUACAGCUCUGGCAUUAUUCGCCUCGAGGUGCCAAUUGAAGAGCAGAUAGAAGCACUUGAAUGGCUUCAUGCGCAGAACCAUCUGCUCCUCCCUCGCUGCUUCUUCUCCGGUCGAAGACCACCAACUGAAAUCAUGUGUAUCAAUGGAACUUCUUCUCAUUCUAAAUUGGUCAGUGUUGCUGGUGUUGGCUCUGCUGUCUUCUUUACUCAUUUACGUCCCUUCUCAUUUGACGAUUGGCGUGCUAUUAGAAGGUUCCUCUCCAAGAAAUGUCCACUAAUUCGUGCUUAUGGGGCAAUCCGAUUUGAUGCAACAGCCAAUAUAGCUUCUGAAUGGAGUGCUUUUGGCUCAUUUUAUUUCAUGGUUCCUCAGGUUGAGUUUGAUGAGCUUGAAGGAAGUUCAAUUAUUGCUGCAACAAUUGCAUGGGAUAAUGCUGCCUCAUGGACAUACCAGAGGGCAAUAGAUGAACUUCGCGCCACAAUAUGGCAGCUUUCCUCCAUUCUUAUGACAGUGCAGAAAAAAAUUCCUCAUUCACAUAUACUCGCCAGAACUCAUGUGCCGGGUAAAUCAUCUUGGGACCAUGCAGUUAAGCGUGCUUUGCAAAUAAUAAGCAGAAAUGACUCCGUACUGAUCAAGGUAGUUCUUGCUCGUAGCACCAGAGUUGUUACAGCAGCAGAUAUUGAUCCGUUAACAUGGCUGGCUUGCUUAAAGGUUGAAGGAGAAAAUGCAUAUCAGUUCUGUUUGCAACCUCCCCAUUCCCCCGCAUUCAUUGGAAACACUCCAGAGCAGCUAUUUCAUCGGGACCGCCUCAGCAUUUGUAGUGAGGCUUUAGCAGGAACACGGGCUAGAGGUGGAUCAGAGCUUCUGGAUGUUAAGAUAGAACAGGAUUUACUGUCCAGUGCUAAGGACCAUAAUGAGUUUGCUAUAGUACGGGAGUGCAUAAGAAGAAGAUUGGAGGCUGUGUGUUCAAGCGUUUUAAUUGAACCAAAGAAAGCAAUAAGAAAGUUUUCAAGAGUUCAGCAUCUUUAUGCUCGAUUGAGGGGGAGACUCCAGGCUGAAGAUGAUGAGUUUAAGAUUUUGUCAUCGGUGCACCCAACUCCAGCAGUUUGUGGGUAUCCUACAGAAGAUGCACGGGCUUUUAUUUCAGAAACUGAAAUGUUUGACCGAGGAAUGUAUGCUGGUCCUGUUGGUUGGUUUGGAGGGGAAGAGAGUGAAUUUGCUGUUGGAAUAAGGUCAGCUUUGGUUGAAAAGGGUCUUGGUGCAUUAAUUUAUGCGGGGACUGGAAUAGUGGAGGGAAGUGAUUCAUCUCUAGAAUGGGAAGAGCUAGAGCUGAAGACUUCACAGGUAUUCUUAAUAAUUCUUUCCUGUUCUAUUAGACAUGUCUUUCAUUAUCUAGAAUAUGAUGAGCUCCUCUACUUUCCGAUACUUUUUUCUGCUGCAUCUUUCUAUUGUCUCUUGCAGUUCACCAAGUUGAUGAAACUUGAGGCACCUCUUGUGACUAGAGGACAACGUAGGAUUAUCAAUCAGAAUCAGAAAGUUCAAAGAGCCUGAAAAUCUUGUUAACCUGCCUGCGUAUGAUCCCGGCUUGGGGUGGAUCAAGUCAGGACUUUUUGUGAAUUUAUGAUUGGGAUUUCCAGAUUCGACAAAGAAAGCGCCGUUCAUCAUCAGAUCUCCCUGUGAUCUCCACACCCAAUUCUUCCAUUCACUCUCAGUUGCAUAAUCCCUUUUGGUCACCUACAAGAUAAGGAUGAGGAUCAUAGUAAUCUUUAGCAGUUUUCUCUGCUUGCAUGGCUCGAGUUUGCCACACCUCAUCAAAGUCACCAAUAUUUGCCUCUAUGCUAAAAGCUAAUGCAGCCAAAAUUACAAGAAAACUCAACCUAUUUUUUAGAGUUUCCAUUUUUCAAUAUAGCUAUAGUUUUUUUUUCUCUCUUACUUAUAAUCUAUUCUUUUUCUUUUGUUUUUAUUUUUUUAUUUUUGAUAAAGAUGGAUAAUGUUUGGCUUUUGCAUUAUUCUUUCUGUGUAAGAGGGAGAAGAGAUUGUUUAAAUACCAGUAAGUGAAUGAGAAACAGAGAGGGAAAAGUGGGGAACCGUUUUCACUCUAAUGGUCAACUUUGUUUCUCUGGUUCAA
This is an RNA transcript of Capsicum annuum, 2436 nucleotides long. It is a transcript of the gene named isochorismate synthase, chloroplastic, with no coding region annotated. The record is from RefSeq and is marked provisional. Lineage: Eukaryota; Viridiplantae; Streptophyta; Magnoliopsida; Solanales; Solanaceae. The transcript is spliced from 16 exons.